This 71-nucleotide small nucleolar RNA is filed under the name Oryza longistaminata (longstamen rice). Lineage: Eukaryota; Viridiplantae; Streptophyta; Magnoliopsida; Poales; Poaceae. The record is from RNAcentral.
AAGUUGCCUGUGAUGGUGUUAAAUAUACUUUGAGCUUUCAGCCAGGGGCGGAACUGGGCCUAGGGCAACUU